RNAcentral lists this ribosomal RNA (324 nucleotides) under uncultured bacterium. Its description in RNAcentral is "bacterial SSU rRNA". It matches the Rfam family "Bacterial small subunit ribosomal RNA", at positions 8 to 334 of the family's 1533-position model. The record is from RNAcentral.
AGGGUUCGAUCCUGGCUCAGGAUAAACGCUGGCGGCGUGCCUAAUACAUGCAAGUCGAUCGAGAGCGGAGCAAUCCGCGAAAGAGGCGAACGGGUGAGUAAUACAUAAGCAACCUGGCCACAAAGACGGGGAUAACACCUGGAAACGGGCGCUAAUACCGGAUAAGUGAAGGUGGGGCAUCCCACCAUCAUAAAAGGGAGAGAAACGCGAGUGGAUGGGCUUAUGGUGCAUUAGUUAGUUGGCGGGAUAAAGGCCCACCAAGACGAUGAUGCAUAGCCGGACUGAGAGGUUGAACGGCCACAUUGGGACUGAGACACGGCCCAG